RNAcentral lists this ribosomal RNA (254 nucleotides) under uncultured bacterium. Its description in RNAcentral is "partial 16S ribosomal RNA". It matches the Rfam family "Bacterial small subunit ribosomal RNA", at positions 524 to 776 of the family's 1533-position model. The record is from RNAcentral.
GACAGAGGGUGCGAGCGUUGUUCGGAAUUACUGGGCGUAAAGCGCGCGCAGGCGGAUCCUGCAAGUCGGAAGUGAAAUGUGGCUGCUCAACGGCCACGCUGCUUCCGAUACUGCGGAUCUGGGGACCGGUAGAGGCUGGUGGAAUUGCAGGUGUAGCGGUGGAAUGCGUAGAGAUCUGCAAGAACACCCGUGGCGAAGGCGGCCAGCUGGGCCGGAUCCGACGCUGAGGCGCGAAAGCGUGGGUAGCAAACAGG